UACAGAGGGUGCGAGCGUUGUUCGGAAUCACUGGGCGUAAAGCGCGCGCAGGCGGGCGUGUAAGUCAGAAGUGAAAUUCCGGGGCUCAACCCCGGAGCUGCUCCUGAUACUGCAGGUCUGGAGGCCGGUAGAGGCUGGUGGAAUUCCCGGUGUAGCGGUGGAAUGCGUAGAUAUCGGAAGGAACAUCAGUGGCGAAAGCGGCUUCCUGGACCAGCACCGACGUUCAGGCACGAAAGCGUGGGGAGCAAACAGG
Molecule: ribosomal RNA, 253 nt
Filed under: uncultured bacterium
Lineage: Bacteria
Description: partial 16S ribosomal RNA
Rfam family: Bacterial small subunit ribosomal RNA
Source: RNAcentral